RNAcentral lists this long non-coding RNA (1236 nucleotides) under Nicotiana benthamiana. RNAcentral describes it as "long non-coding RNA (NBEN_LNC019416)". The record is from RNAcentral. Lineage: Eukaryota; Viridiplantae; Streptophyta; Magnoliopsida; Solanales; Solanaceae.
AUCAAGACAAGAUGAAUAAACAGAUGCGACUGAAGAAUUUGCACGUGCAGAUGAGUAGUAGAGUGAUACUUCUUUUCAAUUUAAUAUAUUGGUAUGGUGCUAUAUUCUCAGAACGGUAGCUAUGUCCAGACAUGGUGAUAGACGUACACUUGACAUGCUCAACCACUUAGUUCAUAGAUUCACAUUGAGUAAUGUCAGAUUAGAUCCUAAGCUGGUUCAAGGUUAUUUGAAUUUUGCAAGUUCCUAGUUUAUUCAUGAUGUAAAAGAAAUUAUUUGGCAUUGUUAUUAAUAAAAUUAGCCACUACGUACCUGCCUAGUGGGAUAUUCGAUAAAAAAAAUGAUGGAAAAACACUGUUAGAUCUCAUAGACUUAGAAAAGGAGACACUUUUGCUAUUUGGACUAUCAUAAGUUUCAAUAAAAAGCCUUAGUGCUGGAUUUUAAAAACAGUUAUCCUUUAUUAUAAAAAAUGCAAUUUUUGUGUAAUUUUAGCUGUUUUAUAUGAGACAUGCUAUGUUUUAUUAUCUUUUUACAGAUUUCCCUGAAAUCUCACUAGUUGAAUAAUGAUUGAGAGAUUGACUGAAGGGGUAACUUCACAGCUGUGGCCUAGUAAUAAGAAUUUUUGCCGAUUCCUUUAGCUCAGCAUUGCUCUAAAUACAGUGAUAAUGAUGAUUAUGAAGUGUUUUUUUGGGUAAAAUUCAUAGUUCAGUGGAUGUUGUGAAUAUAAUUUUUAUGAUCUCCUUUGCCUUGUAUAUUGCAGGUAUGGUGGAAUCUAUGUUGACUCUGACAUCAUAGUGUUAAACAUUGUCCUCACUUAAUAAUACUGUUGCAUUUGAGAAUGACCUACGUGGAACUCUGAAUGGUGCUGUAAUGGCAUUUAGAAAGCACAGGUAAUUAUUUCUAUGCCUGUUCUCCUCUUCUCUCACUCAAUAUAAAAUCUCAUUUAAGACUUUCAUAUAUCAUCAAAACUACAUAUAUUAAGAAACAAUUUACUUCGUACAAUCCAAGAUUCAGAAGAUUUAAGUACUUGUGCAAAAUUGAAAGCUUAAUACAUCUGAAAUAUGUAUGUAAUCAACCAACAAUCGUACAUGAGCGGAUGGUUUGUUUCCACCUAGUGACAAUUACUGACAAAUUGAAGCCUUAUUUUUCUAAGUGUUGAAAGAGCAUCUUCCAUGCUAUUUCUUGCAUCAGGUUUCGCUAAAGUGCAACUCAAGGCUAAUUCCAUGAUAGAUACCAUAC